RNAcentral lists this ribosomal RNA (447 nucleotides) under uncultured bacterium. RNAcentral's name for it is "bacterial SSU rRNA". It matches the Rfam family "Bacterial small subunit ribosomal RNA", at positions 330 to 792 of the family's 1533-position model. The record is from RNAcentral.
CCCAGACUCCUACGGGAGGCAGCAGUGGGGAAUAUUGCACAAUGGGGGGAACCCUGAUGCAGCGACGCCGCGUGGGCGAGGAAGUAUUUCGGUAUGUAAAGCCCUAUCGGCAGGGAAGAAGAAAUGACGGUACCUGAAUAAGAAGCACCGGCUAAAUACGUGCCAGCAGCCGCGGUAAUACGUAUGGUGCAAGCGUUAUCCGGAUUUACUGGGUGUAAAGGGGGCGCAGACGGCAGCGCAAGCCAGGAGUGAAAGCCCGGGGCCCAACCCCGGGACUGCUCUUGGAACUGCGCGGCUGGAGUGCAGGAGGGGCAGGCGGAAUUCCUGGUGUAGCGGUGAAAUGCGUAGAUAUCAGGAGGAACACCGGUGGCGAAGGCGGCCUGCUGGACUGCGACUGACGUUGAGGCCCGAAAGCGUGGGGAGCAAACAGGAUUAGAUACCCCUGUA